RNAcentral lists this ribosomal RNA (741 nucleotides) under uncultured rumen protozoa. Its description in RNAcentral is "bacterial SSU rRNA". It matches the Rfam family "Eukaryotic small subunit ribosomal RNA", at positions 308 to 1116 of the family's 1831-position model. The record is from RNAcentral.
AUCCUUACGCGCCGUGAUUCGAGCUUAGAUUCGCGACGGUCUAGAUUUUUAAUGGUAAUUGGCUACAUGGCUUCCACGGGUAACAGGGAAUUAGGGUUCGAUUCUGGAGAAGGAGCCUGAGAAACGGCUACUACAUCUACGGAAGGCAGCAGGCGCGUAAAUUACCCAAUCCUGACUCAGGGAGGUGGUGACAAGAUAUAACAACGCAAUUUCAUUGUGAUUGUAGUGAGGGUAUUCCAAACCGAACCACUAGUACGAUUAGAGGGCAAGUCUGGUGCCAGCAGCCGCGGUAAUAAUCGACCCUAAUAGCGUAUAUUAAAGUUGCUGCAGUUAAAAAGCUCGUAGUUGGAUUUCAAGGAUUGUGUACUCUCUCAGAGUAUGCACCCUACUAGUCUUUGACUUGUUACUGUGAGAAAAUUAGAGUGUUUAAAGCAGGCUAUUGCAAGAAUACAUUAGCAUGGAAUAACGAAUGUAUCUAGAAUCUUGGUUAAUUCUAGGUUUCGAUUAAUAGAGACAGUUGGGGGCAUUAGUAUUUAAUUGUCAGAGGUGAAAUUCUUGGAUUUGUUAAAGACUAACGUAUGCGAAAGCAUUUGCCACGAUGUUUUCAUUAUCAGAACGAAGAUAGGGAUCAAGACAUCAGAUACUGUCGUAGUCUAUCUAUAAACUAUGCGACUAGGAAUGGAAUGGGAACCUACACAUUUCAGUUACUUUUUUAAGAAAUAACAACACCUGGGCUCCGAU